Labrus bergylta (ballan wrasse) is the source of this 826-nucleotide non-coding RNA. NCBI's taxonomy places the organism in Eukaryota, Metazoa, Chordata, Actinopteri, Labriformes, Labridae. The record is from RefSeq and is a predicted model, not a curated record.
CUUUUAUAAAAUAUUAAACAAAUCUAUGCGUGCAUGUGAAUGUAUAAGAUGUACAUGUUUUUGUCAUUGAAAAUUGAUAAAAUAAUCUUAACAAAAAAACAACAGCAACAAAAAACAACAUCCGAAAUUGUGUCAUGUCAUUUGGGCACUUCCGGUUCCUGGAAACAGACUCUGUUAUGAUUUUAGUUCCAACCCAAACAAACAAAGCUCAGAUGAAGAUUUCUUCCCCUCAGAAACGUUUUGAGAGUCCUCUCUUCAGUCGGCUGACCUCCGUCUGCGUUGAAUCUUUUUUUAAGACAAACAUAAGUGACUGCCACAAGGCUUUUAUGACGCUUUUUGUUGUACGUUAUUGACGUUAUCUGGGUUGUUGCGCCACAGCGGCAGACAGUCCCCGCUGCAGCUGGAGCUGAGCUGAGGCUGAGCAGAGAUGACAAGCGAUUUGACUGCUACCGUCUGUACUUGAAAACCGGGUUGACAGCCUCGGCUUUGGCCCCUGCUUCGUGUGGAUCAGAUGUUUACAAAGACUCGUUGAGUCAGCCAGCAGCGGCAGACAGUCCCCGCUGCAGCUGGAGCUGAGCUGAGGCUGAGCAGAGAUGACAAGCGAUUUGACUGCUACCGUCUGUACUUGAAAACCGGGUUGACAGCCUCGGCUUUGGCCCCUGCUUCGUGUGGAUCAGAUGUUUACAAAGACUCGUUGAGUCAGCCAGCAGUUACUAUGAGUGCAAUGCGUGUGGAUGCUAAAGUGGUGAUGCUGGGAAAGGAGAGUGUGGGGAAGACGAGUCUGGUGGAGAGAUACGUUCAUCACCGCUUCCUGGUCGGCCCCUAC